Molecule: long non-coding RNA, 17648 nt
Filed under: Triticum aestivum (bread wheat)
Lineage: Eukaryota; Viridiplantae; Streptophyta; Magnoliopsida; Poales; Poaceae
Description: long non-coding RNA (TAES_LNC015740)
Source: RNAcentral
UGCAUUUCUACCAUAUGAGAUAUAUACCCUUUGCAUUGCCACCAACAAUUGUACCGCCAAAGAAACGAGAACAAAUGUUUAUUCAUAACAAAUCAUAACUAUGUUGCUGGAGAAACAAGAACGAAAAAUGCUGCGAAAAACGGCAACAUGUUCUACUACUCCGGCUGCGCUACAAAGAAUCUCACAAUUAAAUACAGGCCCCGAUCAAGAGUUCUGUCUAUUUCGAGCCGUCUAGUCAAACAACAAGGUGAAAAAAAGGAGCAACAAGGCGGGAAAAAAAGGAACAGCAGACGGUAUAUUUCGAAAAAUUGGCAAUACAACAACACUUCUCUUCUCUUUCUACGGAGCCUCGGGGCGCCAUCUCUUUCAGCAAAGUCUAGCGACUCGGUCUGGCGGGCUUGUCCCAAGGCUUGGAUUUGUAGGAAUUCUGUUUCGUCUUACGCGCUGACACGUAGUUGGCCUCCGCCUGGAAGGGGUUCAUGCCGUCAUCGUCGUCGUCUUCCCUCGCUUUCCUGACCUUCUUUGCCUUUCCACGGUCGUACUCCUCAUCCCUGGAAAGCAAAUAACCAAAUGGAUAGUAAGUUCAGGUCACUUGAAGCAGUUGCAACCCGGCCAGAAAUAACCAGGGUUCAGAAUCAGUUAAGAGACUGAACCCAGGCGCGAAAUAACUCACCACUCAUCCAGCACAUAACCAAUGCUCUUCUUCCCUGAACUUUUGUACUCUCUAGUCUCACUGCUUGGCACGGCAACAUCAUCCCAGCAUGGAACUGCAUACCAAGGAAGGAACAUAUUUACAGAUUAAAACUGCAAGAAAAGCAAGAGUAUUUGUAACACAUAGUGAGUGUGUAUCUGCAAAGAGAAAUGCUCACCAGUAACUUCAGCCCUCAAGUCCUCUGUGCGAAUAACGACUUGUUGGGAGGCGGCUCCCCUCUUUGCAUCUACGUUGUUUCUUGAAUGUGCUUGAUCUGUAGAAGAGAUUGAACCCAACUUUGGAGGCUCCGCGCUAGCAGAAGUUCCACUCUUUCUGUUCCUGGUGUUCAUGUUAUCAUCACCGGCACCAGCACUACUUGCUCCAACAGCCUGCUGCCUGUCUUUGAGCGCUUGGGUGUUGUUUUCAGAACUUACACUGGCAUGGGAAUAUUUCCGUUUACGAGAUGUAGAUUCUGCUGUUUUGGGCGGCACAGUUGCUGAUGUUGAUGUUUGCUGCUCACUGCUGUUGUCACCAGAACAAUCAACACUGGCCGUGUCCUUAACACGCUUUUUGGUUUUCUUAUGCUUCUUCUUUUGUUGCUUAAGUGAUAAUUGUCUUGGCCGAAGCCACAACUUCAUUACUGGAUAUCUCACAAGUUUCUUUGACUUCGAGUCCACCCUUUUAGUCAUUCUGCCAUUACAUGAAUCGCCUGGAACCACCUUCGUGGAAACUUGCGAGGAGAUCUGUUUUCCAACAUCAACUUGUUCAAGUCCUGGUAGUAUGGUUUUCUCCUUCUGCAUAAAUGUACAAGCAGAACAUAUUACAACUGUCGACUCACAUUAAGCAAAAUGAUGAAGCUUAGAUUUUAUUUGUGCGCAAGGGAGAAGCAUAGUCACGAUUUUACUGGUUCAAAUGGGUAACGAGUAAACACUUCUCUAACAAGGGAGAGAACAGGGUGGCUGUUGGCCAUUAGCAUACCUUGCUCGUCGUCAAAGCCUUCACUAUGUGGUCAUCUUGCUUGAGAGAUCCUGUUAAGUCCUUCAUUUUCUCACUGGAAACUGGACCUCCACCGCUAGUGCUAGGGAUGACACCAUUUGAAACAACAGCAUCCUACCAAGUUGCAUAAGACAAGGUAAGUAAUGAAGUGCUGGAAAUGGAGACAAAAACUAGCAGUGACCAUCAAAAGGAUACCUUAGUUUGGAAAGUUUGCACGGUAAACCCGGUAAUCGUGCCAACCAAGUUCGAGCUUGGCUUGGAACAUGUUUGAGAGCAAGAAGUUAGUUUAUCUGUCUCUGACAGUCCAGCGGGACCACUGACCAUAGAUGAGGCAAUAGAAGUAUUAUUUCCCAGCUUGGCAAAUGCACCACCAGCCUUUGGUCCCUGCAAUGACAUCUUAGCCAUUGUCUGAUUGCUGCUCGCCGGUUGACCUGAUGAAGAUGUCUCUUUAUGACUACUUGAAGCAACUUGCUUUGAUUUAGUUGACAAUGUAGCACCAUCAUUUUGAGAUCCAAGGGCUUUCUGUGCGGCAGGCAGGACACUGUUUUGAGGGGCUGCAGCAAUUUCAGCUUUGCCAUCAUUUGUUGAACAAUGGUCUACUAAAGUCAUACUGCUAACGCCGGAAUGGGCAUUGCUAGUACUCUGCAACUUCUUAUUUGCAUAAGGAGAUGUCAGACCACUCGAUUUUGCUUCCAUUACACCACUUCCGAUUACACCAUUGAUAGAUGAAAUCUUCCCAGGGAUCAUUUUGUUUACAGGCAGAUUAGGAGUGCGGUUGUCUUUGCGCCCCAUUGUGUUCCCAAUUCUGUCACGUACAUAAAAUAACAUAUAGGCUUUCUGUUUCAGUACGUCUGCCUCGCGAACUUGGCGUACCUGAAAUUGAUGGCCUUAGGAAUCAGUACGGCAAAAAUAAAAGCUGCAAAAAUAACCAAAGGCGAGAACUGGAAUUCAACAGGCAAUAUGGCUCAGGAUUUGGUUUUGCUUCCUUUCUAGUCAUAAACAGAACCCAAACCAUACUUCUUAUAUUUGAAAUCUAGCUAAAGGAUUCUCCCCGAACAAGAUGAGUACAAUGUACAGUAGUAACUUAUCAAAUGCUAUAUUCAGCAUAUACUAAAACAGGAUAAUACAUCACUGAUUAGAACAAGUAAAAAGGUCGAUGCAUUGUGAUUUGUGACCACCGAGCUCUGAACGCUGUAAAAUUAAGGAUGCCAUAACAUUAUAAAAAUAAGAUAUGUUGUAUCUACACUCUACCAUGUGAUACAAUGCAAGCUAUUGAAAAGACAAGGUAACACUGGUAGCAAAGGUCUUCAACAAAUCGAUGAGGCGGCAAGGCUCUGCUAUGAUGAUUUACUUAAAAGGAAAAAACAAUAGUUUCGGAAUAAUAUUUCCAUCAAUGGUACAGACCUGAUUAUCGUCAAGAUUGUGCCACAUCCCACUGGAAGUCCGAACAAAGCAAUAAUAAUGACCAGAUUGAGUGCUCCAACCAGCAUGAACCAAGACACCAUAAAGACUGUAUUUGUAAUCUGUGCCCUACACAUGAUCAUAGCAAAAUACUGAAUAUAAGCUAAUUCAGGGAAAAUCAAGGUAAAUUUCAAAGGUUCAGAACUAAUAACUCACUUUAGAAUCACUCAUAAAUGGUUUCAAGUCUAGAACAGGUUGAAAAUCCACUUUUUUGUCAAUCUUUUCACGGGGACGGAAAGGGCUAAAGCGCUUCAGAUGAACUGUCAAAACAUUUGGAGCCGUAUCAAUUGUAAACCUUUUCUUUGCUACAACUUUCUGCCUGCAGCGCUCGCACUGAUACUGCUUUUGACCACCAUCGAGUAGUUCAUCCUCGGUAAAAUUUUGAAGUGCUCUCACCAAAGUUGUGGCCUUGCCAAUAUCAAGACUAAGAUCCAAGAAAGGAUCAAAUGUGUUGGAACAAUGCGAGCACCUUGUGCAUUUCACCUGGAACAAAUAUAUGCAGCAAAGCAGUGAUGACAACAGAAAUGGGUUUUCCCAAGAAAUUGCUAGUACAAAAGUAAGAAUGCACAUGAUGUACCUGACUUCUUAGGCGGCCACCAAAUAUUCUGUGAACUAAGCUCUUCUCAUAAGCACUUGCAGACUCGCUCGGUACUCCAGAAGGUAAACAGCAUUUAUGCAUGGAUUCAAGCAAGUUAACCAUUAACUCAUGAGCAUCCUCCUGCCUUGAAUUACGGAAGCUACGAGAAAUGCCUAUUUGCGGUCAAAGAUUUACAUUUUGACGCUCGAUAAAGAAUAGACAGGAGAAUUUCAAGUUAAAACUAAAAGAGGAAAUCAAUUAGGCUACAGCAUAUGGAAGGAUACAGCGCAAGUUCUUGACAAUUUGUGAUGGUGUCACUAUUUUUCCAGUUGACUGUAGCGCGGUCUUAACAUGGUUCUGAAGAGCACACAAUGCACAGAAUCCAGCAGUACGACCUAAAAAUGGUGGGAAAAAAGGAAUUAGUAACGGCUGUAUGAGAAAUGCCUCGCAGGGGCAAAAAGCUGAAAACAGGGAGUAUUAUAACAUACAUAUAGUGAUUAACAAACUACUUUGUAGGUAGGGUAUGAAAUUACUGUUAGCUACAACAGAAGAAUAGAAGAAAUGCAGAAUAGCUAGUGGCAGGGGUUUAGUUGAUUCACAGAUCAGCAAAUGUUGUAUUACUAAUGGAAGUUUGAAGUUUCAACUAUCGAGGCACAGUUACGUGAAUUCUGUGUGCUAUCUAAUUGGGUAACAAUGAGUCCAUAAAUGGAGAGGCUUCCAUUUUCAGUUAUUAAUGUAAAGCAGCCCUGGUGACAAAAAUGCCAUUUGGGGUGGGUUUUGGAGUGCCGAGUUGGCAGUAUCAGCUUCUUUCAGUACAUGGAUAAAACCGUUAAAAAUGUGUGCCAUUAUUAUCCCACAUUCCCACUGGCUAACUACACCUCCCUUAUUAUAGAAAAACGAUGUCUACAGUAACCUUGAAGCCACUCCUAGCAGACAUAUCAUACAAGUGAAUGCAUCCUUGUCAACAAUUUGGCAGUUGCCCAAAUUCGUCCCUAGGUAAAAAUUGCACAAAGCUAAUCCUACUGGUGGCAGCUGCUGCACAUGGACAUCCAUUCCCUAGUUAACUUGACAGAAACACGGUCCACUUUAUUCUCAUUUCUUGCCACUCAAUAUGAUUUUGAUCAGACACGCAACAUUUUAGAAUUUCCAUGGGCCAUUUGAGCAACCCUCAAGUUCUGUGACCUAGAUUUACCACCUCACAAGACGUUGCAUAUGUAGUGCAAUUUACUCCCUCGUUGAAAAUAUAAGGCAAGUUUUGGUAUAGCACAGGGAUUAAGGAAGUCAUGCACCAGAAGGAUACAAGAGUGAAAUGACCAGGAUAUCCAUGGUGUUAGUGUAUUCAAAAUAAGGUAAUCAUAGAUCAGAGUGAUAGAUUAAUCUGGUUGUUUAUAAAUUAUAAUAAAGGUUUAAAAGAGGGUGAAAUUAGAUAAGCGCAAAUGAAAGGAAUGUCAUCAAAUGUAAUUGUAGCUUUACAUCUUUCAAACAGACAAUGCUGAUUGUAGCUUCACAUCUUUCAAAUAGAGGGAGUACUCUACUAUUCAUGAUACAGUGCAAACCACAUCCCCAACAUCGAAAUGGAAGCAUCGUACUUGAUAAAGUACCAAGUUUACAUAAAGAUAAUAGGUGAUAAUUGAACACAGAAGGCAAGAAGACAAGAAUAAUUCUGAAUCGCGGUUAUUCGAUGCAGUGAUAAGAUUGUAUUAACAACUGACUUGGUACCUGUUCCAUCAGGUGUGACUCAAAGCAUCAGUAGGGAUAACCAAUUCAUAUAUAUCAGCCAACCGUUCUCAUCCACAUAAUCCUCUAACAAAAUAGAAUGACAAACUUUUACACGACUUCUCCAGUGGAUGAUAAACGGUUGACUGAUCAAACUUUGAGAUGCGAUUGCACAUGUUCGAUUCGAACGUGAUUCAAGCUGGAGCAGUUGGUGAAAACUUGCCAAUGGCGUGUACGUAAUACCCUUGAGGCUUGAGAAUGCAAGUAUGGUUGUCUUUGGGAGUGAUGAUACUCGUAUUCAAGCAGUGGCAUGGGCAUUGAUACAGCAUAGAACCCAGCCGUAUACCUUUUACAAGGAUUAUACUACUUUAGAAUGUGCAAUAAUAUGCAGAUCAAAUACUGCUAGCUUGGAAAUCCACAAGCCUGAUGCAACACUGUCAAAUCACUUAUCGUGUCGCUAAGCCAGUGGACAGUUGCAAGUUCCAACAGCACUUACAUGAAGACUUGUGCCUUCCACUCUGCAAGUAGGCUGCGAACGGCUCCGUGUACGUCAAGCAUUGCAGAACCGAGUUGAGGUAGCAAGUGUUCCCAAGAUUUUGCAGACCAGCACCCUGCAAAAUGCAGUCCAAUUUCAGCGCUCAAAAGGGCAUCACAAGUUGAAUGUCAUUACCCACCAUACAAAAACCCCAAGAAAUGGCAAUUCUGUGAAGCAAAUUCUGCGCAUCUUUUACUAACUACUCCGUACGAGCCUGAAAUCACAGUGUUAUGUUAUAAACCCGAAUUGACAACUCCGGCGUCCAAACACCAUACAUAGCAGCUCUAUCGCCCCAAAAUCACACAGCUUUAAGAGCACAAACCCCCGAAUCAGAGCUGCAAAUUUGCGUUACUCACAAUUCUCCCGAGGUAGAUCCUGGCAACGGUGAGCUCCGGAUCCAAGCCCAGAGCCUCGGCCUUCUCCGGCCUCCGCGCCUCCGCCUCGCCCCUGGCCGCUCCCACCGCCGCCGAGGACGCACCGCCCGCGGCGUCCGGGUUGAGGGUCUCCAUCUGGAACCCGCCUCCCCCGACGGCCGCCGCGGAGUGCGGCCUCCGGGCGAGGUGGAACUCUAUCCUCCUGUGCAGGACGCCCUCCGGCACCAGCGCCGCCGCCGCGGACACCUCCGCCAUCCCCACUAGGGUUUCGACGUCGCGCCGGAGCGGCAGCCGAGCAGCAGCGCUGUGGGAUCCGGAGGGAGAAGGAUCGCGGCUCCUCCGAUUUCUCGAGGUAUUCUUGCGGAUUGAAAUCCGGGGCUUCGAUCGAUAGGUGGGCGGGCGGAAAUUGGUGUGGUGCUCUGUGUUCUUCCUUUUUUUUUUUGGUUUUUUCUUGUCCAGCCGCCGUUCUUGCCGCGGGGACGGAAGAGAGGGAGUGAGGGAGGUGCGAGGCGGGGCUAUAAACCCUAUACCCCUGGCGAAUGGACGGCUGGGAUUGGUGGGAUGGGGGCCGAGCGGGUGGUCUGGAGUGUUGGAUCCUGGUGCACGUGCUUUGCUCGGCCGGUGGGGCUAGAGGAAGAGAAGGAGGAGGAGAGCUGCUGCUAGAAAGGUGGCUACAUGGGCUUUGGAAGCUUCUCACACAACCGUGUGAGCUUUUUAGCUUUGAGCUCUUCGGCCUUUUCGUGGUGGAGACAUUAUACUCCCUCCGUUCCAUAAUACAAGAACAUUUUUUACAUUAAGUGUCAAAAAUAUUCUUAUAUUAUGGGACGGAGGGAGUAUAUGGUACCAAAAUAGAUUUGUUAUCACUAAAAAAACAGAUUUUGUUACCCUAAAAAGAAGAUCUUGUUCAUUCGCCGACUGCAUUGAUCAAGCGGUUACUUGUUUGACUAAUUGGAGCUCCUUUCAUUUAAAUGACUUACAUGGGAAUUUCAUAAUGAUUAGAAACUUUUCCGUUCGUCGGUGCCUCUUUGGUUUGUACCCCAGAAGAAGAAAAAACUCGUUAUGGUACUUCAUGUGUAUACAGGACCUUUAUAAAACACAAGGUCCAAGUGUGUACAACCCACAUGUUAUGCCAGUAAAGCCAAUAUCAAUGCAAAAGUCCUCUUCUCUUUCUUUUUUGCCUCAUUAGUUUUGAGUAGAUGUAUGGAUAACAUUUUUCUAAAUAUACACAUGCUUUAAAGAGCUUAGUAUUGUGCGUUUUAGGUGGCCAAUCUUAUUUAUUCGGUUGAAUCGUGAAAUAUAGUGAACUUUGAUGUCGUAGUGAAAAUAUCCUUGUGCAGAUUGAAGAGCAUGAGCGAGGGAUAAUUACAACCUGGAUGUGUUGCAUCUGUGUUAGUCGGACAAUAGAGCGGGAUGGAGAGAGACUCCUUACUCAUAGACAUAUAGUACUCCCAUGUCCUUCGUCCCAUCUAGAAGACACUUGUUGGGGAUAUAGCUACUAGGUAUGACCCGCCCAGGAGGGGUCGGGUUAUACCUAUGGCGAUUCAUAAUAUAAAUCCCAAGACGACACUGGAAGAUGGCGGUUCAGUUAAGGGCCCAAGGCCCAAAGGCGGCUUAAGGCACGUAGGGAUAAACCGUCGUAUGUGUAUGACUUGUAUUGUAAGGCAGGAAUAGAUAGUCACCGAGCCGGACACUGUUUAUGAGCCGGCCGGGACUCUAUGAGCCGAUGGGCGUCGACCUCUGUAUAUAAAGGGACGACCCGACGGCGGUUUAGGACAAGUAACAUCAUAUCGAGAACUAGGUCAAGCGGAUUCACUCCCUGGUAAUCGAGAGAUAAGCAAUCCCACCUCAAACUGGAUUAGGCCUUUACCUUCACCGCAAGGGGCCGAACCAGUAUAAACUCCUGUGUCCUUUGUCCUGUUUUAACCCCUUUAAGCUUCCUAGUUGCGAUGGCUCCACGACUAAGUCCUUUUGCUAGGACAUCUGCCAUGACCUUUCCACGACAGUUGGCGCCCACCAUGGGGCCAGCGCACGAUGUAUUUGAGUUCUUGCAGGGCAGCUUGGAAUGGCUCAAGGGAUACGUUAUGGGCCGGAUGACCAAGAGUCGUUGCGGCUGAAAGGAUCGAUAUAGUUGACUAGAGGGGGGGUGAAUAGGCAACUAACAAUUUUUAGCUUUUCUUUACCAAAUUAAAGUUUGCAUCAAAGUAGGUUGUCUAAAUAUGCAACUAGGUGAACAACCUAUAUGAUGCAACAACAAUAAGUGCACAAGCAAGCAGGGGAUACAACACAAAAAGCUAGCACAAGUAAAGGCACGAGAUAACCAAGAGUGGAGACGAUGGAGACGAGGAUGUGUUACCAAAAUUCCUUCCUUUUGAGAGGAAGUACGUCUCCGUUAGAGCGGUGUGGAGGGACAAUGCUCCCCAAGAAGCCACUAGGGCCACCGUAUUCUCCUCACGCCCUCACAUAAUGCGAGAUGUCGUGAUUCCACUAUUGGUGCCCUUGAAGGCGGCGACCGAACCUUUACAAACAAGGUUGGCGCUAUCUCCACAACUUAAUUGGAGGCUCCCAGCGACACCAUGAAGCUUCACCACAAUGGACUAUGGCUCCGAGGUGACCUCAACCGUCUAGGGUGCUCAAACACCCAAGAGUAACAAGAUCCGCUGGGGAUUAGUGGGGGAAUCAAAUUUCUCUUGGUGGAAGUGUAGAUCGGGGCCUUCUCAACCUAUCCCAAGCAAAUCAACAAGUUUGAUUGGCUAGGGAGAGAGAUCGGGCAAAAAUGAAGCUUGGAGCAACAAUGGAGCUUUUGGGGGAGAGGUAGGUCAACUUUGGGGAAGAAGACCCCUUUAUAUAGUGGGGGGAACAAUCCAACCGUUACCCCACCAAGCAGCCCCGCAGAGAGCGGUACUACCGCUUGGGUGGGCGGUACUACCGCUGAGCCAGCGGUACUACCGUGCCACCUAGCGGUACUGCCGCACACAUGAGGGGAGAAAGGUCCUGGACCCAGAGCGGUACUACCAUGGUGGUAAAGGCGGUACUACCGCUCAAGAGCGGUACUACCGCCACAACUGCCGCAGCUAGUGCCACAGAACCCGACACGAGAAAACGAGGCCUCGAGUCGAGGCGGUAGUAGCCCGGAGCCACAGCGGUACUACGGUGGAAGAUAGCAAGCGGUACUACUAUUGAAGGAGCGGUACUACCGCUUGUUGUGCUUCGGUGGUACUACCGUUGUGGCCCACGGUACUACCGCUGGGACUAGACAGGGCAAGCCAGGAAGGGAAGGAAAACUCCAUUGAAGCGGGAAGGAUCAGCGGGUGCGAUAAGGAUGUGUACGUGUUGAUUCCACCCUAGCCUUACCAAAGCUGAUCCCCUCUUUAUAGUAUGGUGACUCCUACGAAACUAGUCCACCAACAGAGAAACGAAGGAGAUGCACCGUCUUGAAUAAAACACCGAGGGGAGGGAAUCGUCUCGUGCCAAAGGAUGAAUCUCUGAAAAUCUCAACGCACACGAUUAGUCCGCAAAAGCAUUGUCAUCAAUCACCAAAACACCUUGGGGAUAAAUAUGUCCUUACAAUCUCCCCCUUUUUGGUGGAUUGAUGACAAUACGGGAUUUGCAUAAACGGGAAAAGACAUAGGGCAUGCGCAAUCCCCACAACUCUAAAAUGUAGAUGGGCUCCCCCUAGAUGUGUGCUAUCUAGAUAAGUGCUUUGGACUGCACGGCACACAUACUAGGAUCAACGCUCCCCCUACAUUUUAUAGACCAACAACCUAAGCAGGAUAUAUGAGAGCAAAGUAUAUAACAGGGUAAGCAUGCAACUCAUAAGAUACCGAAGGACUAGAUAGACAUAGAUAAGGAUAAUAUAAAGAUAGGGUAGCAUAUGUCUCACACCAUAUGUCUGGAACUUAGGUCUCACUGGCACAAAACCAAGCAAAGCAAACGGCGGGAAAACACACCACAAACAAGACACACUCGCAAAACAGACAGACAACGACAACAACGACACAAAUACCUAAACUCUCUCCCCCUUUGGCAUCGAGACACCAAAAAGAGAAAGAGUGUUGCUGAAAGCACAAGUGCUCCCUAGGUGGUUUUGGUAAUUAAUGUCAACAUAUCUCUUGUUGGACUAACACUUUUAUCUAGUAUGUUUCAGAUAAGUUCAACAAUGGAGUGGCAUGGACUAAAGGAUGUGGGAACUCCUUCAAGAUGCUAAGGACAAAGGAUUGGCUCAAGCUUCAAGCUCAAGACUCUUCAUUUUACAUUUUAGUGAUCCAAGAUCACAUUGAGUCUAUAGGAAAAGCCAAUACUAUCAAGGAGGGAUGAGGUGUUGCUUAAUGAGCCUCUUGCUUCAAAGUGCUUAGUGAUAUGCUCCAAAUACCCUCAACUACUUUCCCACUUCCACACAUAUGUCCUAAACCUAAAGUCAAACUCGGCCCCACUGAUUCUUUCUAUCCGGCGCCACUGAGUUUGGAUGUCUUAGCCACUGCCACAAACCAUAGGCAAAUCGGUCUCACCGAUAGGGAUCUCGGUUUCACCGAGAUGGGAUUGUAAUCUCUCUGUGUAUGUCCAUUAUCAAAAUCGGUCUCACCGAGUUUGAGCAAUCGGUACUACCGAGAUUACAAUGCAAACUUCCUGGUUGACUCAUUACCAAAAUAGGUCCCACCGAGUUUGAUAAUCGGUCCAACCGAGUUUGCCUGACCAACUCUCUGGUUAGCUAAUUACCAAAAUCGGUCUCACCGAGUUUGUGUAAUCGGUCUCACCGAGAUUACGUUAUGCCCUAACCCUAACCGAAUCGGUCCUACUGAGUUGCAUUUCGGUCCCACCGAAAACCCUAACGGUCACAUUAUUUGCUAAAUCGGUCUGACUGAGUUUAACGAUUCGGUCCCACCGAGUUUGGUAGAUUGUGUGUAACAGUUAGAUUUUGUGUGGAGGCUAUUGAAGGAAAUAUACCCUAGAGGCAAUAAUAAAGUUAUUAUUUAUUUCCUUAUAUCAUGAUAAAUGUUUAUUAUUCAUGCUAGAAUUGUAUUAACCGGAAACAUAAUACAUGUGUGAAUACAUAGACAAACAGAGUGUCACUAGUAUGCCUCUACUUGACUAGCUCGUUAAUCAAAGAUGGUUAUGUUUCCUAACCAUGGACAAAGAGUUGUUAUUUGAUUAACGGGAUCACAUCAUUAGGAGAAUGAUGUGAUUGACUUGACCCAUUCCGUUAGCUUAGCACUUGAUCGUUUAAGUAUUUUGCUAUUGCUUUCUUCAUGACUUAUACAUGUUCCUGUAACUAUGAGAUUAUGCAACUCCCGUUUAUCAGAGGAACACUUUGGGUGCUACCAAACGUCACAACGUAACUGGGUGAUUAUAAAGGAGUACUACAGGUGUCUCCAAAGGUACAUGUUGGGUUGGCGUAUUUCGAGAUUAGGUUUUGUCACUCCGAUUGUCGGAGAGGUAUCUCUGGGCCCUCUCGGUAAUACACAUCACUUAAGCCUUGCAAGCAUUACAACUAAUGAGUUAGUUGUGAGAUGAUGUAUUACGGAACGAGUAAAGAGACUUGUCGGUAACGAGAUUAAACUAGGUAUUGAGAUACCGACGAUCGAAUCUCGGGCAAGUAACAUACCGAUGACAAAGGGAACAACGUAUGUUGUUAUGCGGUCUGACCGAUAAAGAUCUUCAUAGAAUAUGUGGGAGCCAAUAUGAGCAUCCAGGUUCCGCUAUUGGUUAUUGAUCGGAAACGUGUUUCAGUCAUGUCUACAUUGUUCUCGAACCCGUAGGGUCCGCACGCUUAAGGUUUCGAUGACAGUUAUAUUAUGAGUUUACAUGUUUUGAUGUACCGAAGGAGUUCGGAGUCCCAGAUGAGAUCGGGGACAUGACGAGGAGUCUCGAAAUGGUCGAGACGUAAAGAUUCAUAUAUUGGAUGAUAUGGUUAGGCCAAGGGGUCAAGCCCAUGAGGCUUUAGGUCGGUGCAAAAGGAGUUUUGCAGAGGCCAGGGGGCCAAACGCCGGAGACCCUGGCGUCUGGCCCUGGGCCAGACGCCGAGGCCCAUGGCGUCUGGGCCAGACGCCAAGGGUUGUGGCGUUUGGUCCUGGAGUCCGAGUGGGACUCUUGCCUUUCGGGCAAAACCGACUUUGAGGAGGCUUUUGCUCCAAGUUUCGACCCCAGGGCUCAACAUAUAAAUAGAGGGGCAGGGCUAGCACCAAAGACACAACAAUUGAUCCCUUGGAUCUCUUAGCCGUGUGCGGUGCCCCCCUCCACCAUAGUCCACCUCGAUAAUAUUGUAGCGGUGCUUAGGCAAAGCCCUGCGACGGUAGAACAUCAAGAUCGUCACCACGCCGUCGUGCUGACGGAACUCUCCCUCGACACUCGGCUGGAUCGGAGUUCGAGGGACGUCAUCGAGCUGAACGUGUGCAAGAACUCGAAGGUGCCGUAGUUUCGGUGCUUGAUCGGUCGGGCCAUGAAGACGUACGACUACAUCAACCGCGUUGUGCUAACGCUUCCGCUUAUGGUCUACAAGGGUAUGUAGACAACACUCUCCCCUCUCGUUGCUAUGCAUCACCAUGAUCUUGCGUGUGUGUAGGAAAUUUUUGAAAUUACUACGUUCCCCAACAGUGGCAUCCGAGCCUAGGUUUUAUGCCUUGAUGUUAUAUGCACGAGUAGAACACAAGUGAGUUGUGGGCGAUACAAGUCAUACUGCUUACCAGCAUGUCAUACUUUGGUUCGGCGGUAUUGUGAGAUGAAGCGGCCCGGACCGACAUUACGCGUACGCUUACGCGAGACUGGUUUCACCGUUACGAGCACUCGUGCUUAAAGGUGGCUGGCGGGUGUCUAUCUCUCUCACUUUAGCUGAAUCGAGUGUGGCUAUGCCCGGUCCUUGCGAAGGUUAAAACAGCACUAACUUGACGAACUAUCGUUGUGGUUUUGAUGCAUAGGUAAGAACGGUUCUUGCUAAGCCCGUAGCAGCCACAUAAAAUUUGCAACAACAAAGUAGAGGACGUCUAACUUGUUUUUGCAGGGCAUGUUGUGAUGUGUUAUGGUCAAGACGUGAUGCUAUAUUUUAUUGUAUGAGAUGAUCAUGUUUUGUAACCGAAGUUAUCGGCAACUGGCAGGAGCCAUAUGGUUGUCGCUUUAUUGUAUGAAAUGCAAACGCCCUGUAAUUGCUUUACUUUAUCACUAAGCGGUAGCGAUAGUCGUAGAAGCAAUAGAUGGCAUAACGACAACGAUGCUACGAUGGAGAUCAAGGUGUCGCGCCGGUGACGAUGGUGAUCACGACGGUGCUUCGAAGAUGGAGAUCACAAGCACAAGAUGAUGAUGGCCAUAUCAUAUCACUUAUAUUGAUUGCAUGUGAUGUUUAUCCUUUAUGCAUCUUAUCUUGCUUUGAUUGACGGUAGCUUUUUAAGAUGAUCUCUCACUAAUUAUCAAGAAGUGUUCUCCCUGAGUAUGCACCGUUGCGAAAGUUCUUCGUGCUGAGACACCAUGUGAUGAUCGGGUGUGAUAGGCUCUACGUUCAAAUACAGCGGGUGCAAAACAGUUGCACACGCGGAAUACUCGGGUUAAACUUGACGAGCCUAGCAUAUACAGAUAUGGCCUCGGAACACGGAGACCGAAAGGUCGAGCGUGAAUCAUAUAGUAGAUAUGAUCAACAUAAUGAUGUUCACCAUUGAAACUACUCCAUCUCACGUGAUGAUCGGACAUGGUUUAGUUGAUUUGGAUCACGUGAUCACUUAGAUGACUAGAGAGAUGUCUGUCUAAGUGGGAGUUCUUAAGUAAUAUGAUUAAUUGAACUUUAAUUUAUCAUGAACUUAGUCCUGGUAGUAUUUUGCAAAUUAUGUUGUAGAUCAAUAGCUUGCGUUGCUGCUUUCAUAUGUUUAUUUUGAUAUGUUCCUAGAGAAAAUUGUGUUGAAAGAUGUUAGUAGAAAUGAUGCGGAUUGGAUCCGUGAUCUGAGGUUUAUCCUCAUUGCUACACAGAAGAAUUAUGUCCUUAAUGCACCGCUAGGUGACAGACCUAUUGCAGGAGCAGAUGCAGACGUUAUGAACGUUUGGCUAGCUCAAUAUGAUGACUACUUGAUAGUUUAGUGCACCAUGCUUAACGGCUUAGAAUCGGGGCUUCAAAGAUGUUUUGAACAUCAUGGACCAUAUGAGAUGUUCCACGAGUUGAAGUUAAUAUUUCAAGCAAAUACCCGAGUUGAGAGAUAUGAAGUCUCCAACAAGUUCUAUAGCUAAAAGAUGGAGGAGAAUCGCUCAACUAGUGAGCAUGUGCUCAGAUUGUCUGGGUACUACAAUCGCUUGAAUCAAGUGGGAGUUAAUCUUCCAGAUAAGAUAGUGAUUGACAGAAUUCUCUAGUCACCAUCACCAAGUUAGUAGAACUUCGUGAUGAACUAUAGUAUGCAAGGGAUGACGAAAACGAUUCCCAAGCUCUUCGUGAUGCUGAAAUCGAUGAAGGUAGAAAUCAAGAAAAGCAUCAAGUGUUGAUGGUUGACAAGACCACUAGUUUCAAGAAAAGGGCAAAGGGAAGAAGUGGAACUUCAAGAAGAACGGCAAGCAAGUUGCUGCUCAAGUGAAGAAGCCCAAGUCUGGUCCUAAACCUGAGACUAAGUGCUUCUACUGGAAAAGGACUAGUCACUGGAAGUGGAACUGCCCCAUGUAUUUGGCGGAUAAGAAGGAUGGCAAAAGUGAACAAAGGUAUAUUGGAUAUACAUGUUAUUGAUGUGUACUUUACUAGUGUUUAUAGCAACCCCUCGGCAUUUUAAUACUGGUCCAGUUGCUAAGAGUAGUAACUCGAAACGGGAGUUGCAGAAUAAACAGAAAAUAGUAAAAAGGUGAGGUGACGAUGUGUGUUGGAAGUAGUUCCAAGAUUGAUAUGAUCAUCAUCGCACACUCCCUAUACUUUCGGGAUUAGUGUUGAAACUAAAUAAGUGUUAUUUGGUGUUUGCGUUGAGCAUGAAUAUGAUUUGAUCAUGUUUACUGCAAUACGGUUAUUCAUUUAAGUAAGAGAAUAAAUCGUUGUUCUGUUUACAUGAAUAAAACCUUAUAUGGUUACACACCCAAUGAAAAUGGUUCGUUGGAUCUCGAUCGUAGUGAUACACAUAUUCAUAAUAUUGAAACCAAAAGAUGCAAAGUUAAUAAUGAUAGUGCAACUUAUUUGUGGCACUGCAGUUUAGGUCAUAUUGGUGUAAAGCGCAUGAAGAAACUCCAUGCUGAUGGGAUUUUGGAAUCACUUGAUUAUGAAUCACUUGAUGCUUGCGAACCAUGCCUUAUGGGAAAGAUGACUAAAGACUCCAUUCUCCGGAACAAUAGAGCGAGCAACUGACUUAUUGGAAAUAAUACAUACUGAUGUAUGCGAUCCGAUGAGUGUUGAGGCUCACAGCAAGUAUCAUUAUUUUCUGACCUUCACAGAUGAUUUGAGCAGAUAUGGGUAUAUCUACUUAAUGAAACAUAAGUCUGAAACGUUUGAAAAGUUCAAAGAAUUUCAGAGUGAAGUUGAAAAUCAUCGUAACAAGAAAAUAAAAUUUCUACGAUCUGAUCGUGGAGGAGAAUAUUUGAGUUACGAGUUUGGUCUACAUUUGAAACAAUGCGGAAUAGUUUCGCAACUCACGCCACCCGGAACACCACAGCGUAAUGGUGUGUCCGAACGUCAUAACCAUACUUUAUUGGAUAUUGUACAAUCUAUGAUGUUUCUUACCGAUUUACCACUAUCGUUUUGGGGUCAUGCAUUAAAGACAGCUGCAUUCACGUUAAAAAGGGGCACCACCUAAGUCCGUUGAGACGACACAAUAUGAACUGUGGUUUGGCAAGAAACCAAAGUUGUUGUUUCUUAAAGUUUGGAGUUGCGAUGCUUAUGUGAAAAAGUUUCAUCCUGAUAAGCUCAAACCCAAAUCGGAGAAAUGUGUCUUCAUAGGAUACCCAAAGGAGAAAGUUGGGUACACCUUCUAUCACAGAUUUGAAGGCAAGACAUUCGUUGCUAAGAAUGGAUCCUUUCUAGAGAAAGGAGUUUCUCUCGAAAGAAGUGAGUGGGAGGAAAGUAGAAUUUGAUAAGGUAAUUGUACCUUCUCCCUUAUUGGAAAGUAGUUCAUCACAGAAAUAUGUUCCUGUGACUACUACACCAAUUAGUGAGGAAGCUAAUGAUGAUGAUCAUGUAACUUCAGAUCAAGUUACUACCGAAUCUCGUAGGUAAACCAGAGUAAGAUCCGCACCGGAGUGGUACAGCAAUCCUGUUCUGGAAGUCAUGCUACUAGAUCAUGAUGAACCUACGAACUAUGAAGAAGCGAUGGUGAGCCCAGAUUCCGCACAAUGGCUUGAGGCCAUGAAAUCUGAGAUGGGAUCCAUGUAUGAGAACAAAGUAUGGACUUUGGUUGACUUGCCCGAUGAUCAGCAAGCCAUUGAGAUUAAAUGGAUUUUUAAGAGGAAGACGGACGCUGAUAGUAGUGUUACUAUCUACAAAGCUAGACUUGUCGAAAAAGGUUUUUGACAAAGUUCAAGGUGUUGACUACGAUGAGAUUUUCUCACUCGUAUCGAUGCUUAAAGUCUGUCCGAAUCAUGUUAGCAAUUGCCGCAUUUUAUGAAAUCUGGCAAAUGGAUAACAAAACUGCAAUCCUUAAUGGAUUUAUUAAAAAAGAGUUGUAUAUGAUGCAGCCAGAAGGUUUUGUCAAUCCUAAAGGUGUUAACAAAAUGUACAAGCUCCAGCGAUCCAUCUAUGGACUGGUGCAAGCAUCUUGGAGUUGGAAUAUAUGCUUUGAUGAGUUGGUCAAAGCAUAUAGUUUUAUACAGACUUGCGGUGAAGCCUGUAUUUACAAGAAAGUGAGUGGGAGCACUACAUCAUUUCUGAUAAGUAUAUGUGAAUGACAUAUUGUUGAUCGGAAAUAAUGUAGAAUUAUUCUGCAAAGCAUAAAGGAGUGUUUGAAAGGAGUUUUUUCAAAGAAAGACCUCGGAGAAGCUGCUUACAUAUUGAGCAUCAAGAUCUAUAGAGAUAGAUCAAGACGCUUGAUAAGUUUUUCAAUAAGUACAUACCUUGACAAGAUUUUGAAGUAGCUCAAAAUGGAACAGUCAAAGAAAGAGUUCUUGCCUGUGUUACAAGGUGUAAAUUGAGUAAGACUCAAAACUCGACCACGGCAGAAGAUAGAAAGAGAAUGAAAGUCAUUCCCUAUGCCUCAACCAUAGGUUCUAUAAAGUAUGCCAUGCUGUGUACCAGAUCUAUUGUAUACCCUACACUGUGUUAAGCAAGGGAGUACAAUAGUGAUCUAAGAGUAGAUCACUGGACAACGGUCAAAAUUAUCCUUAGUGGAAUAAGGAAAUAUUUCUCGAUUAUGGAGGUGAAAAAAAAGG